UAGGGAAUCUUCGGCAAUGGACGAAAGUCUGACCGAGCAACGCCGCGUGAGUGAAGAAGGCCUUCGGAUCGUAAAACUCUGUUGUUAGAGAAGAACAAGGACGUUAGUAACUGAACGUCCCCCGACGGUAUCUAACCAGAAAGCCACGGCUAACUACGUGCCAGCAGCCGCGGUAAUACGUAGGUGGCAAGCGUUGUCCGGAUUUAUUGGGCGUAAAGCGAGCGCAGGCGGUUUAUUAGGGCUGAUGUGAAAGCCCCCGGCUCAACCGGGGAGGGUCAUUGGAAACUGGGAGACUUGAGUGCAGAAGAGGAGAGUGGAAUUCCAUGUGUAGCGGUGAAAUGCGUAGAUAUAUGGAGGAACACCAGUGGCGAAGGCGGCGCUCUGGUCUGUAACUGACGAUGAGGCUCGAAAGCGUGGGGAGGAGACAGG
Molecule: ribosomal RNA, 429 nt
Filed under: Gemmatimonadota bacterium
Lineage: Bacteria; Pseudomonadati; Gemmatimonadota
Description: Gemmatimonadetes bacterium partial 16S ribosomal RNA
Rfam family: Bacterial small subunit ribosomal RNA
Source: RNAcentral